RNAcentral lists this long non-coding RNA (39235 nucleotides) under Prunus persica (peach). RNAcentral's name for it is "long non-coding RNA (PPER_LNC005042)". The stretch from base 15006 to 15076 matches the Rfam family "tRNA". The record is from RNAcentral. Lineage: Eukaryota; Viridiplantae; Streptophyta; Magnoliopsida; Rosales; Rosaceae.
UCAAAUACAAUAUAACAAUUUGGUUCGAGUCGAUUUUGACCAAAAUCACGAAAGAAACUAAACCGAACCGAACCAAACCAUUUGAUUUGGUUUAGUUUGGUCGGUUUCAGCCUAUACGCAAUCUUUUUCCUUGUACAUUUUUUCAACAUUCUUAGCCCAAUUAGUACCCCAAAAAAAUUCGCAACAUGCUACCUAUUUCUUUUUCAUUUUCUAGCGUGUCAAACAUCCUAAAUUGAACAUGUCAUAAAACUUCAAAGUUCAAUAACUAAUAUAGCUACAAUUCAAUAACUAAUCAACGUGAAACCCUAGCCCUCUCCUGAAAAAAAAAAAAAAAAAAAAAAAAAAAAAAAAAAAAAAAAAAAAAAAACCUCUCUAGCCGCACUAACCUUGAGGGGGGAAGAGGUCACUGUUCCUCCUCCUCAUCCCAUCUCCUCUCUGCUUUGACACACAAAUCCCCUUCCCCUACUUUUCCCUCUCAUCUCCUUCCCAACCUUGUCCCCUCACCUCACUUCCUUCUUACUCUCUCUCUCUCUCUCUCUCUCUCUCUCUCUCUCUCUCUACAUGGUUGCCUUUGUUAGUUUUGUUUGGUUGUUUUGCAGAUCUCGGGUUCCAGCUCUUGAUUUACUUUGUGUGUUUUAGUUUUUAUCUGUAAUAAGUGCUUCAACUCUUUUUGAGUUUGUUGCGUGUUCAUAGUAUCUACUUGUAAUUUUUUACUUGUAAGAGUUUAAAGAUUAUAGUUUGCUGUUGUAGUUUUGUGCAUUGUGGUCUAUGCCUGACUUUUGCAGGCUUGCGACUUUUAUGUCGGAAUUUCUUUGGCCCUCUAUCGCUCUUUGUGGAGGUACACUUGUGCGCAUGAUGUUUCCGGUGGAGUCCUCUGUAUUUAAAUUAACCCCUUGUGGUUAUUGAGCUUCCGUAUUUAUAAUAACCUUAAGUGGUUAUUUGUAUUUGUACUGGCUCUUAUGGUUGGCCUUUGUGCCUUAAUUAUAGAUGCAAUCUAUCGUUUUUAUUUGAAAAAUAUCAAUAACUUCAAGGUUCCAACAAACUUCAAAUUCAACAUCCAUAUGUAAAUAUUAUCCAAUUAGAUGACUUCACAUGUAUAAUAAAAUAAAUAUAUAUAUACACACACACACACACACAAGUAGGCAAUCGAGUUCAGUUUAGGCCGGUUUGCAGCAAAAGUUCAAAACCAAAUUAUUUAUAGUCCGAUUUAUUUUUUAAACCGUUAAAUUUUUUCUUGAUUAAAACCAAACCAAACCGAUAAUUAUAAUUUAAAUAAAACGGUUUAAUCGAUUUGACCGGAUUGAUUCCCACCACUAUCAUAAAUAUAAGAUAAAAAUAUACUUAAUUACACGUAACCCCAUCCUUCAUUAUUGUGCAGCAUAUCAUUAUCCCACGUUUGAGAAAAAUCAGCCCCGAUUGCCAGAAAUAUCAAAGGCAUCUAGAUCCUAGAGGAUGAUAUUUAAAGUUUAAACAAAUAUUCUACAAUACAUGUAGAAGAAAUACCCACUUGAGCUAGUAACACAACAGCAUAAGCUCUUUUCCGUUGGAUAUCUUACAUUCUAGAUCACUUAUCCCACCAUUCCAAAAUUCUUCGUUAUUGUUCACUAGAAACAUUGACUUCCCUAGUUUGCUGGAUUUUCUCUCUCUUUUCAUUCUUCCUAACACGAUUUUCUUCUCCCUUCAUAAAACUAUAUGUACGCUGUCUCACCCUCUAUGAUCACAUCAACAUCAUAUUGCCAACUUUCUUUAUCAACAUAAUGUUUCCAAGUUGAUCAAAUAAUAGGACUAAAUUGUUCGGGUUGAAUGGUUUGAUCAGAUUGACCCAAAAUUGUACCCACCCCCACCUUCCACUCCAGAUCUAGAUUUUUUCUAUUUCUUAUUCUUCUACUCAUCUAAGCCCCUUCUUCUAGCUCCAUGCACUCACCCAUAACCUACCUAGCUGCCAUUUACCAUGCAUUGCUGUGCUAUUUAAGACUCUACCUUUCUUCAUCUGAAGAGGUCGAGAGUAAAUGAACAACACAUUUUGAAAAUCUAGCAAAAAGUACAAAAAUGCAAAUUCACCAAUAACCAGUUUUCUCCCAACCAUGUUUAUUAGCUUUUGUCCCUUCAUUUCAAAACCACAACACAACAGAGUCAUGCAUGUCAAUAGGUCAAAACAAGACAGCUUUUAAUAACUUGGCACACCAAAGAAUUUGGUUAGUUUACUUUUCUAACUAUAGCAUGAUGAAAUUCUUACAUACAACUGGUGUAUACUAACUAUUCAAAGUAUUAUCGUUAUAUUUAAAUUCAUAAGUCUCUGAUAUUAUCUAAUUAAUUUAAAAAAUCUCGAACUUAAUAAAGUCAUACAAAUAUUAAUUUAAAAGAUCUCGAAGAUCUCAAACUUUAUAGAAUCAUACAAAUGUUCCUCUCGCGAUAAUUAAUCAUGUGACAAUUACAUAAAAGGAUGAAUGGAAGAGAGGUGUUGCAUGCGCACCUCACCUCAUAUGCAAGAAUUUUUCCGAGUAGAGUAAUCAAGAAAUUAAUGAGAAAUGAACACGUUGCGUUGCCACCUUGAUUGUGUGAGUUGGUGAAUUACUUGAAACAUCUCUGUCCACCAUCUCCCUGUCUCAUCACAGCAUAAGUACAUUUCAAUAACAUGUAUUUGACAACUAACUAUAAGCCUCUAUUGACUUUCCCACAAGUUCAAAAAUCUCAUGUCAUAAAUAUCUCUGACUUUCAAUGCGUUCAAAACUAUGCGAAAAUGUUGACUUUGAAUAAGUAAGCAGUGGACAUGUGUCCGUCGUGUCGCUUUUGAUGUCGUGGAUGAUGGAACUGGGAAAAUGAUAAGUCCAUUUUUGUGGAUAUGAUUGUAGUCUAGUUUCCUAAUUACGUCUGAAUGUUUGUUGUUCCAAAAUUGAAAAUACAUGCAUGGUGGAAAAUUCUAGCUAGGAAAGGGAACCCUCUUGGUUUUCGUUUCCCACUCUUCAAAUUCUUGGUUCAGUUGAUGACUUUACUUGAUGAAUAUUUGCUUUUGCUCCAUGUCCUUCUCUCUAGAGCGCUGAAGUAGAAAAAAAAUGGAUACAAGACCGCGAUAUGUUCAACUUUGGAAGGCUAGGUUUUUGGUGAGUUUGAAUUUAGGGGAAGAGAUUAAGAAAAGAAGACAGAGAUUUUGGAGUGAGGAAGUGGGAAUUGUGGAAAUGAGCUUUCAUUGAAUAUAGGCGAUUCCGAAUCCGACAAAUAGGAUGGAGACAAGAAGAGAACGAAACCUCCUAAAUCUACUUCAGAAAAAUUAAAUGAAUAGAGUCACCAAUGAGGCACUACUGCUAUGCGAUGACGUAUUUAGAUUAAAGGAAUGCAAAUAUGAGAUCAUUGAGUUUGUAUCAAAAUACAAAUUUUCAUUAAGUUUAUUUUAAAAUACAAAUAUUUGAUAUUGCGUAGUCAUUUAUCCAAUGUGAGAUAAUUCAGGAGAUAGUUUAUACAAUACCUAAGAAGAUGAUCAUAGGAAGAGCCACCUUGAAGUACAUAAUAAAAUGGAUCGAAACUCAUCCAAACUUAGCUUUAGACAAUCAACCAAGCGACAGUGAGGUACUGGCAGACAAUUUUUGUUUUGCUACCAACAUCUUUAAAGUAACUUAUUUUAUUUGUAACGUUCUAAUUUUAUCGGAUAUUUAAAAAUGCUUCCAUUUUUAUUUUUUAUAAAAAAAAUUCAAAAUAAUGAUCCUAAAGGACAGGGGAAAAACAAAGGUGACCUACUCUCAAUCAUGAUUGAUGCCAACUAUUGAUUUAUAGUUGUUUAGUAUUUUUAGUUGGGCGAAUGGUGAAUGCAUGUACAGAAAACAUAAACUGGUUUUCCUUUGGCAUACUCAUUUUUAAAUGUUUGAGAGGAAUAUUGCAUGAACUUGGCCUCUUUUUCUGAGCUCAAAGUCAGUUAUGGGCACAUACUAGAUUAAAAAACCAAUCCGCAUUCAAAAGUUGUUCUGAUAGCAAACUUGAAAGAGGGUAAGGCAAUACCUAGUUAAAGUCCAAAAAAUAAUACAGUUGACAUUGCCUAGUACCCUACCCAAUGAUCAAGAAUGUCUUUCCAGGCCAUAGAGGAUUUGUUUUUUUUCCUUUUUUUCUUUUUUGAGUAAGAAAAGAAAGUAGAGCUUCUAAAAUAUUUAGUUCUCUGCAAGGGACUCAAGCAAUUAAGAUCAGUUACCCUUGCAAUUAAGGUCUUGGGUUCAGCCUCUAGGGUUCUAAUAGGUAUAGGAUAUAGGUUUUUUUGUUCUUUCCCUUGUUUCUUUUUGUACUUUUGGUUACUAAGGAGGUAGGAAGGGAAAGGGAGCCUGGUGUUAUAUAUGCUCUCCACCAUUUAAACUAAACCCCCAUUAAGCAUUAGAAUUUAAUCAAAUAGUUUCCAAAUGACCCCUUUUUCCUUUUUUCUUCCUCGUUCAUUUUAUAUAUUUUGCUCUAUUUGUGCACAUUGCUUAGAGAUGCACAAGGCUUGGGCUUGGAUAAGGUUUUGAGAAUGCUUGCAGACAGCCCAAAAGGCAUAUUUGCUUUAGGACCAGGCAGGCAAGAUCGAGUAAAAUUGUACACCAGUAUUAACUCUAAAACAAAAACGAAAAAACAUUGUAAGAUGGUAUGUCAUUCACCCAAAUCUCAAAGCCAUCUUAUUUUAGUUGAACAUAGCUUGUUUAGUUGUUAUUUUUGGAUGUGGUAACAAUUUAUUUCUUAUAAUCAAAGGGCCGUAUGCUGUGGUAAAUGUUGUUCUGUCUUUUUUUCAUUUUUUUUAAUACAGACAAUAGUCUAAACUACAGAAAUAGGAAUUUCACACACACAUACACACAACCUCUGAUAUGUAAGUCAAAACCCUUUUUUAUUGGGCUAGACCCCGUUGGCAACGUUGUUCUAUCUUAAUUUGGUUGCUUGUGGGCACAUUUCAACGUUGCCAACUUUCACUUGAUCUGUUUGUGGGGUGUUCGGUGUUUGCAUCUUUCUUUCUACUUUGUAAUUUCUUUCCAUUGAAGAACAUGCUCUGAGCAAAUAUGCCUGUGUUCCAGUCAGUUCAAGGAAUGAAAGUUGUGUGUCAUGAGCUGGUACAGUCGACCGAUGAUCCGCAACGCAGUGCUAGAGAUGAGUUAGUGAGGGAUGCAGAUAGACUUGUUUCUCGCUUAGCAGAUAAGGUAGCCAAGACUUUUGAGUUCAGUUUGACAGGAGCUUCAUCUAGGUCUUGUAAAUACGUCCUGAAACACUCUUAUGCAGAAAUUUCAAAAUAAUUACUAACACUAACAUAAAAUCAAUAGGGCAUAUUUAACAGCAAUUCAUUUUGCAGAAAAAGAACAGAAAAUAUUGAUCCAAUUUCAAAAACCUUGAGAGCUACAAUAGCCUCUAUACACAUACUUGAGACCUAUAUUACAAGUUAGCACCUGAGGAUUCUGAUUACGCGACGAGUAAAACCCAAAUGAAGAUUCAAUCCUCAAGCCAAAAACACAUGGAAUCAAUAGGCUUAAACCACCAGAGGAAUUUACCUCAAUAUACUAACCGCUGUCAUGGAUCAUGGAUUAUCUGUUGUACAUUCCAUACCUUACACUCACACUCCUCAACUGCAAAAGAUUUUAUACCAUUUAAACAGCUGCAAGAUUGUUAUGGACAUAGUAAAACGCCUGACACAUCUAGCCUUUCUUUCUUUAAAAGUUCUACACAUCUAACCUUCACUGUAGACCUGGAUAAUUGGUCAUAGUUAUGGACAUAAUAAAAUGCCUCACUACAUGGAAAUGCAUUGCUAAUUUGUUAUCAAAAUCAAAAAAUUUAAUAACUCAUAUUCAUAUUUACCUUUACAAUGCUCUUGUAUCAUUCACACUUUGUAGUAACAUUGUACUGCUUGAGUGCUUCUGAAGUUUCUAAGAUUUUCUUACAGAAAGCAGGACUUUUUAUCUAAGAUUUUCUAAGAUAUCUUUGGUACAAAUUGUGUACAAAUCGUUGAAAUUAAAUUAUUUUUUUUUAAACACUUCUAAUAUAAUAUAUUAUGCAACCUGGAGUUAGUGAACAUAUGCAUCAAAAUGUUCUUAAAUCAACCGCCUCGUUUUAGCCUCUUUAUUCUCUCAAGGGCGCCAAGGUGGGUGUCACCAUCCUUGGUCGCAGCAGCAACAUCUCCACCCUCAUCUUUUUCAGCCUCCUUUCUCUUGUUAGCCAACUCUCCAAAAACAGCAGAUGGGACCUCCUUUAGUGCAAUUUCAACCAUUUCAUCAUCUUCUGAAUCACUUUCUUCCAGUAGCUUAAUUUCUUCAUGAAUUGCAGUAACUUUGAUCUCUUUGUCCAUCUGUGAUUCUACUCCAGCACUCACAAAGCCCACUUUUCUGUUACUAUCUUUGGUGGUAGUGUCUUUAGCCACAGGUGCCAACUGCCUCUCUAAAGCAGCCAUUUCAUCUUCAGGGACUCCAGCCUGUUUCAACUUGUGUUUUGCCUCAUCAAUGUUCAACCUCUGAUCCUUUUGCAUCAUAUACUCGGGUAGAAUAAAGUGUGUCUGGCUAUAGCUUGCAGAAACACUUCGCUUAAUUUGAAGCAUCUCUCGGAAGGUAUCUUCAUUUCCAUGUUGCACCUCAAACUCAUGCCAUUUGUUCCAGAAAUCUACAUCAGAUCGUGGAUCCGAAAACUGUGAUGCAAAUAUAUAUACUCCCCGAGCACGAUCAAUUUCUCCCAAGCUCUUCUCAAGCUCAGUAUACUUCAAACACAUUGUCUUCACAUCUUUGUCUGGAAGACCGGAUUUUAUUGCUUGCUCAUAUAUUUCCCUUGUUUUGGGGAUGCCAAAUAUUUCUGCAGCACGGGCAAUGUACAUUUCAUACAUGCUCAAUUUAUCAUGGUUUGGAACAGCCUUAGUUGCUUCAUCAUAGAUCUUCAUAGCGCGCUUUGCUAGACCAUAAUCCUCCUCCAGAUUUGCAAAUUGAAGAUACAAAGGUUUCUUUGCAUCAGCAGGCGCUGCUUGAACAGCAUCCUCAAAUAGCUGUCUUGCACGUUCCAGUUCUUUCUUCCCAUAUCUCUUUACAAAUUUAGAGAGAUAUGUAACCCAUAUGUCUUUGACAUGUGGGUACUUAAAUAUUUUGGUACCUUUUUCAUACACCUUGAACGCAUCUUCAAAGUAUUUAUGCUUCUCCAGAAGCAAUGCAUAAUUGAUUAUGAUUUGUGGUGUGGCUAUCUUCAAAUCCAUUAUCCUCUCAUAAACAGCCCGGGUGGACUCCAAUUUACCAAGGCUCUCCUCUAAAUCCACGUAAAAAGUCCACAUUCUCAAGGACUUUUGCAGCUUCAUCUGAACCGGUUGGUUACCAUCAGCCGCCACUCUGCGUUUCACCUCAACGGAUGGCUCUGCGGUGGCCAGCCUCAUUAGUUCCAGUGCUCCUUUGAAAUUCUUAUGCCUCAAUUCCAUUUCUGCCCACUCACACCAAAGACUAGCCAAAUAAUCCACUGUCUUGUAGUUCACCUGAACUGCUUUAUCAAAAAUCACUCUUGCAUUUGCAAUAUCUUUGUGAUUCUCGUACAACUUAGCAAACGCAACCCACAACGUAUGAGGCUUUCCCACUGCUUUCAUUGGAUCAACCGUCCUCACAGCCUCUGUGUAAGUAAGUAUCUGCUUUGUGGGAUUACCCUCAAAGAGCUUCACUCUUUGGUGCCACUGCUCUACAUUAUGGGGAUUUUGUCGUAAAAGAACACUAUUAGCCAGUAUAGGACUUCUAUCCAUAAGAUGCUCCAAUCGAGCCAACCUCAAAUCUACGUCCUUAUCAUCAUGUAACCAAAACCCAUUAAGCAUUUCCUUCUCAAGCUCAGCCACAGACAAGUUAACAUCCAAUCGAAGAUCAACUUCCUCCUCAUUUCCAUCCUCUUCUACCCCAUUUUCUUCUUCCUCCUCUUCAUCACUCAAAUCCGCAGUCUCCAUCUUAUGGAUAAGCAUGCUAUCUUCAAACCCAACAUACGAAUCGAAAAUUACACUAAAAUCUCUUACCGUUACCACAGUAGUCAUACCCUCCUCAAAUAUAUCCCUAGCUUUCUCGUGCAAAUUCCUCCUAAUGUAAUAGUCAGCAAGUGAGGUCCACAACCGUCCCACCUCGUCUGUAAAUUUCCUAAUCCCACCUCUAAUAAUAGCAUCUACAUUGAGGCCUGACACCUCCUUAGCGUGCUUAGCAAGCAAAUCACACAAUUCCAACCACAGCCUAUGUUUCGUUUUCCCCUUUAUCGAAUAGAACUGGUCAUCAUUCAACACUGAAGCCAGCCUCUCGGCAGCCUCUUGCCAAAGACUAGAAUUUAUCAAGAACUCAAUGAAUUUUUCAAUAUGGGUAGGGUCAUAUUUCAAAUACCUGCGAUAAAGCCGAAGCGAGGUCUCAAUUGGAAUACCCUUUCGGCUCACGAACUCCAGGUACGGGUCCCAAAUGCCGUCGUGCUGCGUCACUGGAAGAGCACACAGCGCUCUGUCGAAGGUCCGGCGAGUCCGAGUGAACAACUUCUGCUCCGUCAAAGUUUGCAAGUACCGAAUCCAAAUUUUGGGCAUUUUGUGCAUAGUAACCAGGGCUCUUUCAAAAGUGUUGUUGAGGGUUUCAUACUGGAAGUGAGUGAUGGGUAAAUUGCGAACGAGCUCGAGGCGUUCGUGAAGGUAAGCGGACCAAAGCUUGUAGCUCCCAGGAAGGGCCUUGAGUGCUCGCUCGUAGAUUAUAAAACGCUUCUUGAAUGGAGAUUCGGAUCGAGCGAUUAGGUAACGCCACCAUACCUUCAGGCUAAAGGGGUUUCGGAGAAGCUCUUCUUCGUAAAGAAGGUCGUCUUGGGAUGGGUAAAGCUCUUGAGAGAUCGACAUAUGAAGUUGAAUAAUCGGGAAUUUUCUAUGUAUUCGGAGGCCAUAUAUAUAAUACACUCCUCCUAAGCCAAGUCAAAAUAUAAUUCCUAAUUCUAAUUAGGGUAGGAAAUUAAAAGUAGAUAGAUAAAUUACAGUCAAUUUGGGAAAGUAAGGUCAACUCAAAGCUAAACUCUCUUUUCAAGUUGGUGCAUAGAUGUCUCUAAUGCUCAACUUGUCUAUAAGGCUCGUACUAAUUGGAAAAUAUGUGUUGCACUUGCAAGUAAUUAAGAGGUCCAGAAUAAGCAAGUUAGGAUGUGAAUUUAUUUAUUCAAAUAAGUGGUAUUUUUAGUCAAUUUGAAAUACUUAUAUAUGUAAUUUUAAAAAAUAAAUUUGAACUAAUGUGAAACUUGUACAUUAACCCAGACAUGAGCAUAGCUCUUGAGGCUGCAUUUGUUUUCUCUACUAAUUUGAAAGAUAUGAUUUCAACUAUAUAGAGCCUAAUUUUCACCAUAGGGUAUCAAAUGGACAAAUCUCAUCCAGGCAAUCAACUAGGUACUAGCAGACAAGUUUUGUUUUUGCUACCAGCAUCUUCAAUGUAAAUUAUUUGUUUUGUAUCGUUCUAAUUUUAUCGGAUGCUUUUAAUUUUUAUUUUUUUUAAGAAAUUUAAAAUAUAAUGAUCCUAAAGGACAGGGAAAAAAGUAAGGUGACCUAAUCUUAAUCAUGAUUGAUGUCAACUAUUGGUUUAUUCUGUUUAGUCUUUUUGGUUGGGAGAAUGGUGAAUUCAUGCACAUAAAACAUAAACUAGUUUUCCUUCGGCAUGGUCAUUUUCAAAUGGAGGAAUGUUGCAUGAACCGGGCCUCUUUUUCUGAGCUCAAAGUCUAUGGGUAAAUAGUAGAUUUAAAAACCAAUCCACAUUCAAAAGUGCAGAGUAAAAAUUAGAGUUGCCAUUGCCUAUCUACUAAUAGGUAGAAAGGAUAUUAGGUUUAUUUAUUUAUUUUUCUUUUGGUAACUAAUGAGGUAGGAAGGGAAAGGGAGCCUGGUGGUAUAUAAUAUAUAUGCUCUCUACCAUUUAAAAUCUCCAGAAAAUAUUAGAAUUUAAUUCAAUAGUUUCUAAUUACCUUUUUUUUUUCCCCCUUUUUUCCUUGUUCAUUUUUUCAUAUUUUGCUCUAUUUAUGAACAUUGCUUAGAGAUGCAGAAGGCUUUGGUUUGAUUAAGGUUCCCAGAAUGCUUGCAGGCAUCCCAAAAGGCAUGUUUUCUUUAGGACCAGGUAUGAUCGAUUACAAUUGAUCACAACUAGUAUAACUAUAUAAAAAAAACAGUCAGAUGGUAUGUCAAUCACCCAAAUCUUAAAGCCAUCUUGUGGAAAUAGUUACUAUAACAAUACCAUAAAAAACAGUAGGGCAUAUUUAACAGCAAUUCAUUUUGCAGAAAAAGCACAGAAAACAUUGAUCCAAUUUCAAAAACUUUGAGAGCUACAAUCGCUUCUAUACACACACUUGAGACCUACAUUACAAGUAGCACCUGAGGAUUCUGAUUACGCGACGAGUACAAGCCAAAUGAAGAUUCAAUCCUCAAGCCAAAAACACAUGGAAUCAAUAGGCUUAAUCCACCGGAGGAAUUUACCUCAAUACACUACAUGGAUCAUGGAUUAUGGAGGCUGUUGCUGUUGUACAUUCCAUACAUUACACUCCCACUUCUCAACUGCAAAAUAUUUUAUACCAUUCAAACAGCUGCAAGAUUGUUAUUGGGGGUGGAGGUUGGCAAAAAGAGAUGAUGAAGAAAUAAAGUGUACCCGCUCAACAGCAUUUGCCAUGCCCGACACAUCUAGCCUUUCUUUCUUUAAAAGCUCUACACGAUCCCGAAGACACUGAUUCUGUUCUUCAGCCUACAUUUGGGGAGGAAAAAAAUUAAAAAAAAUUAAAAAAUUAAAAAAGAAAAAGAAGAAGCAAACACUCGUAUUACGUUACAAUUAAAUAAACGUUCCUUUUAAAAUGUGAGAGAAUAAAUUCAAUGAGAUAAUGCAUGCUUUGGAAGUGAAGGAAUUUGUCUGGAGAGGAUUUCACAUCAACAAUAAACCAGAUGUGUGUGCGCAGUUGUGAGAGAGAGAGAUGUUCAAAUUUGAUUAACCAUCAACCCCAUAAAAAGUUUCUGGACAGCCAAACGAGUAGAAACUAGGAAAAGUUACCAUACUACAAGCUAAGGGGAAAACAUCAGUGAAUCAAUGCUCUUCAAUUAAAAACCCAUGCACUAAUUGACAGACCUUUAAGGAUGGUCUAACUGCAGAAGUUAACAGUGUCAGAAAGUUAGGGGAAAUACAACACAGGUAUCAAUGUAACAGCAUCUUUGACCUAAGUGGCCAAGUACUACAUCAUCUGAGGAUAUGUAUGCAUACACUCGUGUAAACAAUUUCACAUCUUAGACUAAUAUCAUUGAAACAAUAAAGCUUAAAAGGGUCGACCUUGUAUUGGCUGGCUCCUUUUUAAUUUCAGACCGCCCACAGCUUUGAGUACCCAGUACAUAUUGUUUAUCAACUUACCAGAACACUUUUUCCCAGUAAGAAUUUCUUCCAUGCGUAUCCCAGCUACAUACUUGUUUUAUGCACAAAUGAUAGGGUGAAAACCCUUGACUAGUAAAAGUGCUUGGUAACUGUUCCACAGGGCAUAUCCUAUUACCUGGGAUUUAAUCUCGCCUUUAUAGGAUUUGGGGUUUUACUCAGUGUCGGCUGAUAUGCCCAGUGGAACUCCAAUUGAUCUCAAUGAACCAGACAGAUGUGAGACCCUAGCACUCUUGAAUUCUAGAACACAAUAUAUAUACUCAGUGUGUGUAUAAAUGUUGGACAAUUCCCUGUGUCGACUGAUAUGCCCAGUGGAACUCCAAUUGAUCUCAAUGAACCAGACAGAUGUGAGACCCUAGUACUCUUGAAUUCUAGAACACAAUAUAUAUACUCAGUGUGUGUAUAAAUGUUGGACAAUUCCCUAAAAACUAGAUGAUAUCAUCUCUACCAAGCAGCUUUUAAUUGGAGUUUAAGUUUGAAUAUAUCUACCGUUUCCAGCAUCUUUGUCAAGUACUGGAUUUGAUCCUUCUUCAUUGUGGACAGAUCAUGAGCAACAUCCAUUACAUUAGUCCUGCAUGAAUACACAUGUUUAAACAAUGAAGUUUACACUAAUAGGCACUGUAAGAGAUAAUAUGAAAUGUAACUAUAUAGAUUAAGAUGGAUACUAUCAAGAUAAGGCUCCCUUCCACCAUAGUACCAAAACAAAAGUGGAUAAGACCACCUCUUGGACGGUUUUCAGGCACUGUUAGAGUAGUGGGGGCAAUUGGGGAGGUGGGGGGAUGUAUGUACAGAACCUCUACAACUUCAACAAUGGAAGUAAACACAAGGGCCUUUAUUAUACACUCUUGUAAGCUUCAUUAGUUACCAAAGCAAAUGAACACUAGCCUAAACAAAAGGGCCUUUAUUAUACACUCUUGUCUUCCCCCUUGCAUUCAUAUGUUCUGCAUGAACAUAUGUAUCUUGUACUUACCAUUCUAUUGAAACAUGAUGGCAUGUGUUGCAUUACAUUUAGGAUGAGUUAUGAAUCUUGGCAAUUUUAACAGUCAACCAACACUCAGUUUCUUUUUCUUUUAUAUUUUUUUUUUUUGGUCCAAGGAAAGGAGUUACUAAAAGGCCAUAUAUUCAUUUUGUCAAGAAAUCAAGAAAAUACUUACUUAUCUGAAAACAAACGAUCCAGAGCUUGUUCUUCCACAAGUUGUUCAACAGUAUCAAGAGCAGUUCCCACCUGCAAGCAGAGAGAGACUAUACAUAACAAGAAAAUAUAUUGGAUGCAAAGAAUAAAUAAAACGAUGAUGUAUAAUAUAUAAUGUAUAUUAGAAGUUAGAACCAAGAGGAUCUUGAACUAAUAGUUAGGUAAAAAAGAAAAAAAAAACAUCGGAGCAGGGUUAGUUUGCUUAUUAAUUCUAUUUGUAAACUGUAUACAAGCAUGCAAGGCACAUCAUACAGCCAUAAAUGCUAUCGUUUUCACUCAGCAGUAAUCAUCUGAAGAUUCCAUCUGUUAGACAUGUGAUUCCUUUAGGAUUGUAAUAAUGUCUAAAUCAGUAAGAACCAGAGGUACUUCUUGUUGCCUGCAUAAAACAUGAAUGAGUUGGGUCUUAGGAAUCAUCAUUAGCCACCACUAGUUCCCUCUCGUCAUGGAACCUCUAAUUGAAUCAACUAUUACUCCAUUUUCGGAAAUUACUUAAAAACAUAAAUGAUCGAAAAAAUGUCAUCAUUUCACUGGACAUGGGUAUGAGCCUAUUUAUACACGAGGCUUCAAAUUACACAACACAAGGGCCCAGCAUAUGCAUGUUGACACAAAUUACUAAAUGUUUCUUUGAAAACUAAUAAAAUUCUAAAACUUAUCCCAUGUUUUUCCUAAUCAUGGUAAAUCCUACUUCUAUCCUUUCAGUCCUUGGUAUUCCUCUUUUUACUAAAAUUUUCAUCUGCAGUGCCUUCUGGUAUCAGAAUUUGCCCGAAUUUUAAUGACUUGCUCUAAAACCAGUUCAUCAUCUUUUUCCUUUUUUUUAAUCCAUAAUAGUUUUGUAUAAAUAUAUCAAGAAUAUCACGGGUCAGCUAGGUGUCUAAGCAUGUCUUAAUGUAUUCAUUUCCAAAAUAGGUCUAACUAAACGACCGUCUAAUGCAUAACCAUAUUUUCUUUGCUAAAAUCGCAUUAAUUGGUGGCAGUCAGUCAGCCAGUGGAAUGAACAUUUCUUGUUAAGUAACUCUACAAUAAAGCUGCAAUUACAUUAACACAAACUCCAUGUAAAAGAAAUUCAUUACUAAGGUAUAAAUUAAGACUCAAAUAAAACAACUAUCAGACCCAACUAGAACUCUUUUAUGACAACCAGAAGGCUAUUUACACGAGAAAAUAUGCAUCGUGCAUUAAAGUGACCUCCCUCACUUAAAACUCACUCUCUCUAAUUUCAGAAAUAACUUGUAAGCUAAUUACACAGAAGAAUCUACAUAAGUUGUUAAAUGGAAUAACUGUGCAUUAAUGGCAUCACAAAAUAUUGAUUUGUAUACCUGUGUUUCAAGGCAUACUGACUGAAACUCAUCCUGUAAAAUUAAAAAGGACAAAUUCUUCAGAAUUCAGCUGAAAGCAUUAUAAAAUACAUUAUCACAUAUAAAUACACAAAUAAAUACUCCUGAUGAGACCCCCAAAUGCACACCACCAUUCAACAUAUCAUUAAAUCCUUUGAUAAGAACAUUUAAGAAAUCAAGAGAAGAAAUGCAUUGUUAAUAUUGGCAAAUGGUAUGAAAUGAAUUACCUCUACAUUUCCAUGCAAAGAAGUGAUGACCUGAAAAUUUGUAUACGAUAUCAAUGAAAUGAGCAUUUGUUCUGAAUUUGAACUCAAAAAAGAGACCCUCUAUCCAAAUCUCUGCUUACAAAGUGCAGAGAAAUAAACAAAAUGUCUACAUCGAUUAUUAAAUGACAUUAUCUGUACCUGAAUAAACAUCCUAUGAAGACGCUCUUGCUCGGCAGUUGUAAAAUUCGGAAAUGCUUGGCAAAAUUCCUUUUGUGUUCAUCAUAAAAAAAAGUUAGUCAAUUGAAUCUGGAGGAAGAAAUGCAUAAAUUCGAAAGAAUAAAAUAAAAUUUCCAGACACAAUGAAAUGGGUAUCUUUUGACUUUGAAAUGGCAAUUGAGCAAACCAAUUUCUAAAGAAGAUGAAAUUGUAAGUAAAGAAACCUGCUUAGAACAGGGAGUGAGCAGGGAACGAAUGCAGAACUUGAAGGAUUUCUUCAUCUCCAUAUGCCUCGUCCCCAUCGCAGACACAAAAGAUUCUGAUUUUUUAUAGAGAUACUACAGAAAGAUUUAAGAUCCACACAAGACCAGAGUGAUUCAACACAACAUUCAAAACUAAGUAAACCGUGCAUCGUGAAAUUAGGGUUUACUAGAAUCCAGAAAUUGAAGUGAAAUCUAAAGAAAAUAAAGAGGGAAAUGUAUACCAGCAGAAAUUGAAGUGCCUACGGUAUCUUCUUCUUGUAGAUGCAGAUGUCGUGGUCCGGCUCGUGAAGACUCCCAAAGAUAGUGAGUGAAAUUUGAGAACAAACAAAAGGAAAAUAGAAAGAGAGGGAAAUUUGAAUGCUAGCUAUUUUUGUGGGUUUGAAAUGAAUAAUAAGAAAUGCUAAAAAUAUGAGGCUAAGUCAAUAAUAAGUAUUAUAUAAAGAAAUAAGUGAAUCUUGAAUUAACAAGCGCAUCUGGUGUAGUGGUAUCAUAGUACCCUCCCACGGUACUGACCAGGGUUCGAUUCCCUGGAUGCGCAUUUCACUCUUUUAGCAUUUUUCAAUUUUAUGAUUUAAGUCUCACACCUUACUCUCCGUUAUAACUCAGAAUUUAACUAAAAGUCGAGAGCGCCAAACUUAAAAACAGCACCAAAAACCUAUGAAACCCUGGACAACAAAUUCCCUUGUCGCUUUAUAAACAAAAGCGCUGCGAACCAGAGAAAUAAGGAGAAGGAGUUCUUCUUGGGUUACACAUCUCUUUGGAUCAAGUUUGAAGGUUAGUCUUCAAGCCUUUCUCUCCUUCAAUUUAUAUUUUUCUAGUUUAGGGUUACCAUGGUUUCUAAAUGGCUAUCAAAAUUGGGUAUUUCUGACUAAAUUUAUGAACGUAUUGAAUGGGUUUUGUGAUCUUUGCAGCACUAUGGCUGGGUUUUGGGAAAUCUUAACAAAACACUCUAUGCCCAUGGAUAUUGGUGUGUGAUUUGUGUUUAUGGUACAGUUCUGUAGUUGCUUUGUUAACUUUAUCACUUUGAAUUAGCUAAUAUACUUCACGAGGAGCGCAACUUAGGUCACAAAGGAGAUGGUGGAUGGAAGGCAGUUGCUUGCAAUACUGCUGAAAAUAUAUUAGCUGCACAAUUUAAUCUCCAGAUAAGUGCUAAUAAUAUUAGAAAUCGUGUUAAGUCAUGGAAAAAGUUCUAUAGAGUAGUGAGUGAUAUAUUAAGUCAAAGUGGAUUCAAUUGGGAUUCAACAAAAAAAGAUAAUAAGUGUAGAUGAAGAUCAUGUUUGGGAAGAUAUGUGAAGGUAAAUGUAUAUAUAUAUAUAUAUAUAUUAAAUUUAUCACGUGCUUUUUUGUUGUUGUUGUUGUUGUUAAAGAGUACUUUUAAGAUUCUUAUUUGACUUUGAUUAUUUGUUUGGUAGUCUCAUGACGAUGCUAGAGGUUUUCGAUUUAAAGUUAUAGAAAAUUGGGAUGAUAUAGUAGAUUUGUGUGGCAAAGAUAGAGCCACUAGAGAGGGCGCUGAAACAGAUGCAUAUGCAACUGAGGUUAUGACUCCUACUAAUGAAGUUGAUCAUAUUGAUUUAGAUGGUGAUACACAAGGUUAUGACUCCUACCAAAAGAUGUUGGUUGAAUCAUACAAAGGACAAGCUACCAAAAUUGCUAUGUAAAAAUUGUGGUGGUAUCAAAUCCCAUAUAAAGCAUGAGAAUGGCCACUUUUGAUAAUCAUUUCAAUUUUAGUUUUUUUUUUUUUUUUUGGGGUACUAGAGUAUAGAGGAAAAUGAGAGUGAGAAUGGGGGUGAGAGUGAGAUUGAGAGAUAGGAUGAGAAGGGGGGAUGAGAGAAGGCAUAACAAAAGUGAAAGCAAAAUCUUGAAAAUAAAAUAGUUUGAAAUAGAUUUCCGUUUUUAGUUUUUGUUUUCGCUGUUGUUACUCCUCCCUCUCAUCCUCUCAUCUCGUCUUCACUCUCAAUCUCAUCUCCACUCUUAUUCUCACUUCCAUUCUCCCUCUUUUUCCUCUAUACUCUAGCACAAAAAAUGAAAACUAAAAGCUAAAAUUGAAAUGGUUAUCAAACGGACCAUAAAAUUACAUCCUAAAAUUAAAAUCUUUACAUGGUAAUUGCUAAAAGGAGACUUCAUACAAAGGAAAGAUUAUCUCGAUUUUCUUGUUUAUCUUCUUCUUGUGUGUUUUUGUAUUGGAUUCAUAAUCUUCUUCUCAUUUAUUUUCCAUAUUAUUCUUUUUAUUUUAUAAUGGAUUUGGAUGGGGGAAAUAAACUUGGAAUUUGGACAAAAGUCAGAACUUCUAAAUUUGACAUACAACAAUUCCCGUGUUUGGAAUAAAAAAAACAUUGAAAGUUAGAAAUUCUACAUGAAAAAAAAAUGAAAUUUGGAGAUCAUGAAUGCCAACAUUAAAUUCUAUCUAAAAAAUUGUUAUUUCUAAAAUUCCAAGAGAGUGAAAGUUUUAAAAUAUUAAAUUUCAUGUUUAAAUCCAUUAGCCAAAUAAGAAAAUUUAUAAAUUCUAGAAUAUUAAUUUGCAUCAUUUUAAAUUCCAUCAUUUAUAAAUUCCUUAGUACUUUUCAUCAUCCAAACACACCUUUGGUAUCUUUUGAGGAAUUUUAUUGAAUGUCAUGCCCCAAUUUGGCCCCCAGGUUGUUUCACUAACUGGAUUUGGACUUCCAAAUUAAAACGUAAUAGUACUAAGCUCCAUUCACAAUGUAAUAUUAUAAUGUUUAAAUGAUACACCAUUGUUUGAGCAAAUUUCCCUACAGGGAAUAUUCGUGUGUAGAUUCUUCGCCCUUCGAGCUUCCUUUUAUUUCUUCUUCCUCGAUCCCUACAAAAAAGGUUGGAGUUAAUAGACCACACCCAUGGGGUGUUGGCCAAAGAGCCUCCGAGGCCUAGGUCAGUUAAAUGUUCUUGAGAAAGAUACUGAGAUAACAUAAAUGAUGGAGGUCUUCUCUCAUAGGGAGAGCCGGGUGGCUGGAGUCGUGAGGGAGAGAGAGAGCCAAGAGUGGCGCGAGAGAAAGAGAGCUUUGGCUAGGGUUUUAGAAUUACCUCUUGUGUGUUGUGUAGCCAUGUAUUUAUAAACUCCUUGUAGGCUAGGGUUUGAAGAAUAAUCUAUAUUUGGUUAGGAUUAUUCUUAUACAUAAAUAGGAGAUUGUUAUUAAUCAAGGAUUUUCCUAAUUAAAUAGGAUUUAAUUAAGGUAAUCAGUUGACCUAAUGAAUAUUCCUUUUGCAUGUGUCACCAAUGGCGGAUCCACCAUGGGGUCAAUGGGGUCAGACGACCCCAUGGCAGCCCUGGAAAUGGCUUGGAGGUCCUUGCUUUCUCUUGGCAGCCAUGGGAGACCACCUCAUGGAGAAGAAGAUGCAAGCUGCUAGGGAGAAGAGAGAGAGAGAGAGAGAGAGAGAGAGAGGGGUAGGAAGUAGCCGACACAAAUUUUAAUAAAAAGGAAGAUAUUUUGUUAGGGUUUUUAAAAUAUUUUUUAAUUCUAUUGGGUACACCUAUAAAUAUUAAAAGUAUACAUCAAUAACAUAAAGAUAUCAUAUACCACAACGGUUCCCUUUUUUUUGGUAAUAUUUCAAGGUAUUUUGUUAUUUGGGUUACAUAAUACAUAUAUUAGCUUGAUUUAUUGAAUGAUGUUUUUAUUAAUUGGAAUAAGUUUGGUGUGUUUUUUGUUUUUUAUUUUUGCAUUGUUUCACCUUAAAAAGAAAAUCGGAACUUUAACACUAUGACCCCAUAGAGUAACAAUCCUGGAUCCGCCACUGCGUGUCACCCAUCUGAAAUAUGUGUUCCCACAACCAUAAUAUCACAUUGUUAAAUAGAAUGUAGGUGUAGAAACCAAAAUUUCAUCAGUCAAAAUUCAAAAUUUGACUAGUCAAAGCUAGCUGGAACAGUAAUGGGUUCCACACAAAUACAUGUGGCACAUGCUCAUCAAGACGAAGAUGGACGUUGGAGAUCACACAUGCCAACAUCUAAGAGAUCCAUCAAUCAAAUUAAAUCAUAUGACAAAAAGGAAUAAAAUAAAUCAUAUUCCUAAAUCAUAAGUUAAUUUCCUCAAAUCAUGGAUUUUGACUUAAUUAAAAGUUAAAUUAAGGGAUGCAGAUUGGGGGUUCCAAAUCUCUAUGCCCAAAGCAACACCUAAACUCUCAAGUUCUUCAUCAAGCGUGUAAAGAAUCAACAAACACAUGUCCAUUCCUUCACCACCAAAGCCGAAAACUAUCCACCACGUGACACUACUCGUGGUCUUGACAUGCUUGAGAUCAAGUCGUGAUGGUCCUCCUCAAAGUCUCAAAUUCUGUUUCAUGAUCCAGUGCUUGGCACUCUUGAACUGUACACACUAGGAGAUCAAAUCAGAGAAAAUUCUUUUAUUUUGUACAAGAAUACCCAUAGAGAUUGUAACCUACACACUUGAUAAAUCAAUAUAAAUAUUUAUUUUGUACAUGUAUUCUCGUUUCAUUUGUCGCGGGAUUUUCGUGUUUACAAAUUUGGCACACCUGGUGGGACCUCUCUACCUUUCAUCUCUUUCUCUGCCUCUCUACGUCUAAGUCUAAUGAAGUUCAUGAGAAACACAAGUCAGUCAUCACCCAUGAGAAGCACAGCAAACACGUGUCAAUUCCUUCACCACCAAAGCCGAAAACUAUCCACCAUGUGACACUACUCGUGGUCUUGACAUGCUUGAGAUCAAGUUGUGAUGGUCCUCCUCGAAGUCUCAAAUUCUGUUCAUGAUCCAGUGCUUGGCACCCUUGAACCGCACACACUAGGAGAUCAAAUCAGAGGAAAUUCUUUUAUUUUGUACAAGAAUACCCAUAGAGAUUGUAACCUACACACUUGAUAAAUCAAUAUAAAUAUUUAUUUUGUUCGUGUGUUCUUGUCUCAUUUGUCGCAGGAUUUUCGUGUUUACAAGUUUGGCACACCCAGUGGGACCUCUUUGCCUCUCAUCUCUUUCUCCAGUUCCAAACUCAAUCAAUUCACUAAAGCUGAUGGCUUCAAGUCUUUCUCGCGUGUAAAGGGAAGAGCUCGAGCGCUUAUACCAUAAGCAAAGCCUAUACUAGCACCGUAAGUCGAAGAAAUACGAAGACUUACCUUCCAGGCCAGCACACUGCUUCCAUGUCUCUCCGUCUAAGUCUAAUAGAGUCCAUGAGAAACACAAGUCAGUCAUCACCCUUACCUCGUUGGGGGCAAAGAAGGACGUCUUUCAAAGAAGGAGAGGUGCUCAUCAAGACUAAAGGAUUCAAUAAAGUAGCCAUUCUCACAUGUUCCUGAUGCCGACUCAAGGAUGGACGAAUACUACUGAUCAAAUUUAAUGUACUGGAGGGAGGCUUUGAUGAUGUACUCAGACUCCUCUAGCUCUUCAUGCUCCAUGAUUGUGCAAGUCAUGAUGGUAGAGGUCACUUCCAUUGAAGAACAACUUGUUUAGAUGGCCCAAGCAAUCCAAAAGUUGGUGAAGACCGUUGAAGAGAAUAGGACGCUUAUAAAUGAUUAACAUGCCUCUCUUAGGAAACUAACAGGAACCUGGGUCUACCUAAGGACGCUUUGUGGACUGCGUCUCCCUUAAGACUCUUAUAAAUGAUUGUCAUGCCUAUUUUAGGAAACUAACAGGAACCUGGGUCUUUCUUAGGAUACUCCUGGAGCAUCUUGCUUCCCCAUAAGGACUCUUUGAGGACUUCAUCUCCUUUAGGACACUUAUAAAUGAUUGUCAUGCCUAACUUAGGAAACUGACAGGAUCAUGGGUCUCCUUUAGGAUACUUCUGGCGCAUCUUGGGUCUCCCUAAGGACUUUUGUGGACUGCAUCUCCCUUAGGACGCUUAUAAAUAGCUGCUUCUCUUUGACACAUUUUUUUGAAUAAGAAACUGAACUUGCAUUGAUGUUUAUAUGAUUACAUUGCUUUAUUUGAAAUGGAAAUAAUUGGAUAAAUAACCUGGAAUUUCCAAUAGCUGCUUUUCUUUUUUAGAAGUGGGCAGGGCUCAAUCAUCUACAAGGAAACGAACUGGCAGGCAAAAGCUUCACGAGGAAUAUCUUUGAAAGUGGCAUGCAUUCCGUUGUCUUAGAAUCUCUUUCAUGAUGUCAAGUGUAUAACUUCCUCUGCCCCGGAUUGGUUGAUCACAUAAAGGCUUUCCCAAUUAGGUUUCAUCUUCUUUGAUCCUUGUUUUUGUGCUGUAAUGAAAUUAUUUCUAACUACAAGGUUGCCAGGUUGAAACUGUCUGACCUUGGCCAUUUUGUCAUAGUAAGACUUCAACUGCUGCUGGUAAGAGGCAACUUGGACAAUGGCUUUCUCGCGUUCUCCCUCGAGUAGGUCAAGGUUGAGUUUCAUUUGUUAUAAGUUCUUACCACUAUUACCCACCUCAAUGCUUAUGGAGGGGACAAUGAUGUGCGGAGGAAUGAUUGCCUCAAUUCCAAUACACGUACGCACGUAUUUCUCAUGUUUAAUACACGUAUUUUUUACAAAAAUUUCAGUAAGACACAAAAUUCACGUAUUCUACACGUAUCACUGUACUUUUAAAAAAAAAAAGGUAUAGCCGUACGGCUGUACUCAGUUUUUCCUAAUUGGUUUUCAAAAAAUUGUAUAACCGACCGGCUUUACCUCUUUGACACGUGGGCUUAGGCCAUGUGCGGGUCUAUAUAUAUAUAUGAAUUUUUUUUAAGAACAUAUAGUCGUGUGCGGCUGUACUCAUUUUUCCUUUUUAAAAAAGAAAAAAAAAAGAAAGAAAGGCUUAACUCUUUUGACACGUGGCAAAUAAGGGCUGGGAGCGUAUUCUUUUUCAAUAAAUUUAGGUUUUAGCCACAAAAAAACUUUCAAAUCAAAGACAUGCAAAUGUAAAGGAUUCCUUAGGAAAUCCAAAAAUAAGUAAGGGCAAUUUGGUCCAUUUUGGCUUCUUUUAAAAAUUUUCUCUCUCCUUUGGCCUUUUCCAAAGUUUCCCUUUUUUUUAAAGAUAGACAUAGUAUAGCCGCACGGCUAUACUCUUUUUUAUUUUUAAAAAUUUGUUUCUUUACUUUUGUUUUUUGGCUUACUUCUUUAAUUUACCAUACGUAAUCAAGUAAUAUCUUAGCCUUUUUUAAUCACUUUGCUUAAUCAUUAUAUUUUAAUUAUUAUUUAAUAUAAAAAGAUUAAAGAAAAAGAACACAAAGUAAUUAAUUUCUAUUUAUUAAGUCUUUUGUGAAAUCGUUUGGGUGUCUUAAUUCAAUUUCUCCGUAGCCCAAGAGCCCUAUCCAUUACAAUUAUGCCAUUACUUGAGUAACUAUCGUCCCUUUUUGAUGUUUUACUUUUCCAAAGUUAUUACCCGCAUAAAGAUUUUAGCACUUUCACAUUUGAUGACGUAUUAUACACGUACGCAAGUAUUUCUCAUGUUUAAUACACGUAUUUUUUUACAAAAUUUUCAGUAAAACACAUAGAAAUCACGUAUUAUACAUGUAUUACUGAAUAAAAAUAAUAUGUACUUUAAAAAAAAGGGUACAGCAGUAUGGCUGUACUUAGUUUUCCCUAAUUAUUUUUCAAAAAAUAGUAUAGCCGCCCGACUAUACUCGUUUUUGCAUAAAAAACGUAUAGCCGCCCGGCUUUACCUCUUUGAGACGUGGGCUUAGGCCAUGGGUGCGUCUUUAUAUAUAUAUUAGUAUAGCAGCCCGGCGAAACUAUUUUUUUGAAUUUAAAAAAAGUACAGCCGUGCGGCUGUGCUCGUUUUCCCUUUUUUUUAAAUUUAGAAAAAGGCUUUACUCUUUUGACACGUGGCACCUAAGGGCUGGGAGCAUCUUUUUUUUUUUUAAGAUAUACAUAGUAUAGCCGCACGGCUAUACUCUUUUUUAUUUUUAAUAUUUUACAAUAUAAAAUUUGUUUCUUUACUUUUGUUUUUUGGCCUACUUCUUUAAUUUAUCAUACGUAAUCAAGUAAUAUCUUAGCUUUUUUAAAUCACUUUGCUUAGUAAUUAGAUUUUCAUUAUUAUUUAAUACAAGAAGAUUGAAGAAAAAGAACACAAAUUAAUUAAUUUCUAUUUAUUAAGUCUUUUGUGAAAUCGUUUGGGUGUCUUAAUUCAAUUUCUCCAUAGCCCAAGAGCCCUAUCCAUUACAGUUAUGCCAUUACUCGAGUAUCUAUCGUCCCUUUUUGAUGUUUUGCUUUUCCAAAGUUAUUACCCGUAUAAAAAUUUUAGCACUUUCACGUUUAAUAAUGUAUUAUACACGUAUGCAAGUAUGCAAGUAUUUUUCAUGUUUAAUACAUGUAUUUUUUUACAAAAUUUUCAGUAAGACACACAAAAGUCACAUAUUAUACACGUAUUACUGAAUAAAAAUAAUAUGUACUUAAAAAAAAAAAAAGGGUAUAGCCAUACGGCUGUACUCAGUUUUCCCUAAUUAUUUUUCAAAAAAUAGUAUAGCCGCGUGGCGAUACUCGUUUUUGCAUAAAAAAGUAUAGCCGGCCGGCUUUACCUCUUUGACACGUGGGCUUAGGCCAUGGGGCGGGUCUUUACACAUAUAUAUAUAUAAUAGUAUAGCAGCCCGGCUAUACUAUUUUUUUGAAUUUGAAAAAAUAGUAUAGCCGUGCGGCGGUACUCGUUUUUCCUUUUUAAAAAAAAGGCUUUACUCUUUUGACACGUGGCACCUAGGGGCUGGGAGUGUCGUCGUUUUAAGAUAUACGUAGUAUAGCCGCACGGCUAUACUCUUUUUUCGUGGAGUAUAGUGGAGCUAGUCGCAUUUCCGAGAAAGAAAAGAUCAAAAGGUGUGCUUUUUCUUUUAAAAAAUGGGGAAAAAGAUGUCUUUGGGAGUGUUAGGACCCAAUUAAAGGAGUGCAAAGAAGAGCUGGAAUUACUGCAAUGUAUUAAUCCUUCGAAACAACAAAGUUAGAGGAAGGAGUUUCUUGAAAGGAAGAUUGAUGAUUUGCUGGAAAAACAAGAAGUUAUGUGGCAGCAGCGGUCAAGGGUGGGGUGGCUGAAAGAAUGGGAUAAAAAUACGAGUUAUUUCCAUGAAAAUGCAAAGGAGAGGACAAAGACUAAUUUCAUAGCAGGGGUGUAUAAUUCAAAGGGGAAAUGGUGAACGGAUAGGAGACUGGUAACCAAAAUUUUUAGUAUUUAUUUUCAGUCUCUCUUUGCAAAAACAGGAGGCAAUAAUAUGGAGGUGAUCACUGACAAGGUUAGUCCAAAAGUGCCUGAUCAAAUGAAGCAUUUUCUUAUUAAGCCUUACAACAAAAAUGAGGUUGAGUUUGCUUUGAAGCAAAUGCCUCCUUCAAAGGCUCCUGGAAUUGAUGGAAUGUUAGCUGUUUUUUUUUUUUUUUUCAGAAAUACUGGCACAUUCUUGGGGACGAAGUUGUUGAGGUAUGUCUAAAAAUUCUUAAUGGUCAGGAAAGUGUGAGAAGCUUGAACAAGACUUUGAUAGCUCUCAUCCCUAAAGUUGAAAAACCGGAAUUUGUGACUCAGUAAAGGCCAAUAUCUCUUUGCAAUGUGAUUUAUAAAAUUAUUUCUAAGGCUAUAACUAACAUAUUAAAGUGUGUGCUCCCAAUGAUUAUAUCUGAAAGUCAGAGUGCUUUUGUUCCAAAGAGGCAAAUUUCAAAUAACAUCAUUCUGGCUUUUGAAACAAUCCAUGCCAUGAAAUGUAGAAGGGGGAAAAAAGCUCCAAGGUUUGCUUUGAAGCUAGACAUGGCAAAAACAUAUGAUAGAGCUGAGUGGAAUUUCAUUUGUAAAAUGAUGGAGAAAUUGGGUUUCCCUGACGAGCUUAUUAAGCUGGUAUUUGAGUGUAUAUCUAUUGUUUCAUAUUCUUUGAUAAGGCAUGGAGCUGUGGAAGAUAAUAUUAUCCCACAAAGGGGGAUUAGACAAGGAGAUCCCUUAUCUCCCUAUAUUUUCCUCAUUUGUGCAAAGGGUUUCUCUACGCUUCUUAAACAGGCAGAGCUUUCUAGUGACAUAAAAGGGAUUGAAGUUGCAAGGGGGGGCCCUUUAAUAUCUCAUUUGUUUUUUGCAGAUGACAGCUUACUCUUUCUUGAAGCAACACCACAGGCCUGUAGAACCCUAAAGAGGGUGUUUGAGAUUUAUGAGAUGGCAACAGGGCAAAAAAUAGAUUUGGCUAAGUCUGCGAUUGCUUUCAGUCCAAACACUCCUGUGCAAUUAAGGAAUGAGGUGAGUAGCAUUUUAGCGAUCCCAAUUGUUGAGUUUCAUGAGAAAUAUUUGGGAUUGCCAACUGUGAUUGGUAGGAAAAAGAAGGAGUGUUUCAACAGAAUAAAAGAAAGAUUGAGAAAGAAGCUUAAUGGAUGGAAAGAGAAAUUACUUUCAAAAGCAGGAAAGGCUCUCCUUAUCAAAGCGGUGGCUCAGAGCAUUCUUGAUUAUGCUAUGGGAGUCUUUAAACUUCCUGUAACAUUCUGCGCAGACUUAAACUCAAUGAUUUCUAAAUUCUGGUGAAAGUGUUGAUGCUCAAAAUGGCCCGGUCAAUAGUGAGUCCAACUUAGUGAUUAGGUAUGCGGGGUCUUCAGCAGGGAAGAGAGCUGAGGCCCUUGGUGAAAUAUAGGUUGAUGGGAAACCUGCAGAAGACAAAGUGGGAGAAACAAUCGUUAAGCUUCGGACACCGGUGUGGUGCCGGCCGAAGGCUCUCCGAUGCCUAAGUCAGUUACAAGUAGUAAUUCUGGCAGAGUAACAGUAAAAGUGGGAGAAUAGUUGUCCUUUUUACCUGGGUACUGUUCCCUAUUUAUAGGGAAGUGAAAGUGGGAACUUUGCACAAAGUUCCAAUGUGGGACUUUGUGCAAGUCGUUGUGGUGGCGACACGUGUCCUGGAGAUUAGGUUUGGCAGUUGGGAGCUUCGGCAGGUGUCUGGCACCUCGAAAGUGUGUCUUCCUUCGGCAGGGGAGAAGGCGUGGCUGUCUUGGUGCUAGUCGCUUUGGUGCUGGGUCUGCUCGGUUCAUUAUGGUGUAAACAGUAGUCCCCCAAGUUCGCGGUCGAGAAGUAACUUCUGGGUUGGGAACUUGUGAGUUUUUGUAAUUGUAACCGAGCAUUCCAGCUUCGUUGGGAGUCGUAGGGCACUCCCUAGUCCCCCAAGUUGGCAAGCUAGGAGUUGCGUCAACACAUUGUAGCUGGGUACCUGGGUACUUGGGCAUGUUGCAGAUAAUAUGGGAGCUGGGUCCGUAGGGGAGCCGGACCUUCGAGGGAGCCGAGUCUUAUGGAAAAUUUGGACUUCCCAAAAUUUGUCCAUGGCCCUUGCCGUUCGGCAAGGGUCUAGCUCCUCUUUUUUUUUUUUUUUUGAAUGGCCGGGAGCUAGGCCAUCGAGGGAGCCGGGUCGUUUUUGAAAAUUUGGCUCUCCAAAAUUUCUCCAUGGCCCUUGCCGUUCGGCAAGGGUCUAGCUAUUUUUUUUUGUUGCUCGGGAGCUAGGCCUUUUUGGAUUGGGUCUUCGGCAAGGGGCUGGGGUUGGGCUCAAAGUGGGCUUCGGCAUGUGAGAAAGGCUAGGGUUUUGAGAUCCCUACAAAAUUUAUAUGAUGCAUUAUGCCGUUCGGCAAGUCUUCAUUCGGCAGCUUUGUAGAUUUUGGGAUUGGGAGGAAACAAAAACUUGGGAGAUUUGAACUUGCCGUUCGGCAGCAAGCUUGGGCGGCGCUUCGGCAGCAGGACUGGGCGGCGCUUCGGUAGCAAGACUGGGCGGCAGCAAGACUGGGUAGGCUUAAUUGGGUUGUGCUGUGCCGAUCGGCAGGGUUGGUCCGAGGAGGUGUUGCUGUGCUUAGAGCACAUCGGUUGUGGCUGGACCCUUGCCGUUCGGCAAGGGUGAUUAGGGAAGAGCUGUUGCGAGCAAGUGUGCGAGAUCCUUGCUGUGGCUUCGGCAUGUGGGCUGGGAUAUGAGCAGGGCUUGGUGUGAGCGAAGUCAGCGGGAAGAGAUGGGCUUCGGCAAUUGAUCUUGCCGUUCGGCAAAAGGUUGCCGAGAUAAAGUUGGAGCUGCCGAGAUCAGAUUGGAGCUGCCACUGGUCUUGCCGUUCGGCAAGAGGCUUGGCAGCGGCUGAGGUGUCCAGCGGCAGGAGGCUUCGGCAGGGCUGUGCGUCGGCUUCGGUAAGGCGGCUAGGAAGGUUUUCGUUGCGGCAGCUGGUUCUGCCAGCUGGGAGAGUUGCUCGGCAAGGUUGUAUGCUUCGGUAUGGCCUCAUUUCCCUCUUAUUUCAUGUUUGCAUAGCCCUUGCCGUUCGGCAAGGGUGCCUUGAGCUGAUUUUUAUUUUGACCGUUGUGUUUGAUCAAAGGUGAUAGGCCCGAGCGAAAUUGGAGCUAGGCCGUUGGCAAGAGCACGGCAGAAAAUAGCUGGGCCAAAAAAAUAGCUGGGCCGAAAAUAGCUGGCCUGAAAAAUAGCUGGGUGUGGAGAGUGGUUUGGCCGAAAAGGAGCUGGGUUUUCGUGCUCGCUUAGCCUCUCGAGCUAGACCGUCCAUAAGGCAAGUGAGUUUCCCGGGACUUGCCGUUCGGCAAGUCCAUCCAUGAUAUAUGUUUUGAAAUGUAUUUGGGUGCCUUGAUCAAAUUUGGGCUUAGCCUUGUAGUAGGAUUGGGCUUAUGAAAUAGGCUAGGACACUUGAAAAUAUGGGGACUCCAUUUUGUUUUUGCACGGGCCUUGUCGUUCGGUAAGGCCCCUAAAUUUCCCUAAAUUUUUUGUUUUUGGUUGUUUAUGUAUUUUGAAAAUUGAAUUUCAAAUGGUGUGUAGGUACAAGGGUUUUAGGAGGGAAGAUGAAAGGGUGCUAGGGUUUGCUCGUGAAUCGAGGCGUGGUACCCUUAGUUGGCUAUAAAAAGGAACUUGGGGUGGUGAAGGCACCACACUUGAGUUGAGAAAAUUUGUGAGAAAUUGAAGAAGAGGAGAGGCGAUUUCCGGCGAUUAGUUUGUGGUGGUGCUUGUGGCUGAGGUGAUUUCCGGCGAUCCAUUCGUGGUGCUACGAACAAGGUUAGACCUUAUUUCGCUAGAACUUUUGAAUUGAAAUGUCUUGUUUUGCAUGAACAUGUUGAAGGCUAGGAAGAACACAUUGAACAUGAGCAUGAACAUGAUGAACACGUUGAACAUAUGUAUGAACAUGUAGAAUUCUUGCCUGGCAUGAAGAUUUGGCAAAUUUUUGUUGUGGUGGUUCGAUCCUCUCCGCAUGUGCAUUAGUUCCUUUUUCUUGUUUGUGCAUAUUGUAGAUGUCUGAAAGUUCUGAUAGAGAAAGUCCUGACCCCCCUGCCUUUGGUGGGGAUGAUACUGAGAGUCAAGAGCCGAGCCAAUAUAUAUGUUCUGAAGAGGAAAGUUCAGAGACAGAGGGUAUGGUAGAAGGAACCAUAGAAAGUAGGAUGAUAGGGCCUGGGGGUGAGAGGGCUGAGCCAUCGGGAGACUCUGGGUCGGCUGCAUAUAGGGAGAUGCAGAGAAAUUAUAUAGAGUUAGAGGCUAUAGCAAAUCGGGUUCUAGCCUUGCCUCAAACGCAAGAAGUGGGUUCGAGCAACCAGGCAUCACUAUCAGGGUCUGUGGGUAUAGCCGUGGCUUCGGUAUUAGAGGGAUUAGACAUCCGGGUUGGUGUCUCGUUGCCGCGGCGGAAUACACUUACAGAAGCGAAAUUGGCCCAGCUACGAACAGAUUUUUGUGUGCCAGCCUAUGUGGGCUUGAGGUUACCCACUGAGGUCGAUGUAGUCAGAUAUCCUUCGGAUGGCUCCGUGAUGAUUUUUACAGAUAUGUAUCGGCACGGCUUCAGACUACCGUUUCAUCCGUGGGUUCAGAUGAUGUUGGCCAAGUUGGGGUAUGCACCGGGGCAGUAUAAUCCCAACUUUUGGAUUCUUCUUCAUGGGGUGUAUAUUGCCUGGUGGUUGGCUGGGUUAGGGGAGCCAACGUUUGAGCAAUUCAUGUACCUGUACUCCAUUUCGAAGCAGCAGGGGACUUUUGGCUGGGUACAGGCCAAUUGCCGAAAGGCGAAGGAGAGGGGUUAUUUUAUUGGACACAAGCUCACAACGCAAAAGCCCUGGAGGAACAGGUGGUGCAUGGCCUACGGGGACUGGGAGAGUCCUCUAGGGAAGAGCAUUGUCCAGCACAUUCCUACCCACUUCCAGUCGAUAGGUCCUUGGCCCCAUCCCUUAAGAUUGUCUAAUGCUUGAUUGUGUUGUCUUGGCUCCUAUUGUUGGGUCUGUAUUUUGUUUGUGCCAGUGUAAAUGGCUAAGUAGUUUCUAACUCUCGGUGCAGGUUCAGUGAAGUGGGGCCCUCUCUCCAAGGAGCAAGAAGACGAGGUUGAGUGGGUGAGGGCGCAGCUAUCAGAGACUGAGCGUGAGUGCGGGAACCUAGUCACGCAGAAGAAUUUGUUUGAGUCCGGACUGCUGCAAGGAAGUAAGUACCUGGGUUAUCUUUUUGUUGUGUGCUGAGCCUUUGUGAGUUUGAGUAAUAGAAUUGCUCUGUUUGUUUUGACAGUGGCUGGCAUCAUAAGGGGGAGCACGAAGGUGGCCGUAGACAUUGAUGAGGGCGAGAUGCAGAAGCGGCUGAGGGAGUCUCGGGCCAGGAAAGUUGAGAAGAGUGCUAGAAAACGACCAAGGGAUGAUGAUGAGGGUCGGGUCGCGGACGUGCUGGGGAAAAGGAAAGCCUUGGAGGAGGCUCAUCAGCAUGUGAUGGGGUCAGGGCCGAGACUUCCGCCCUUUGAUCUGCAGGCACCGCCGAAGCUACCCUUCGGCAUGGAGGACGUGUUCGCUGAAGGGGUAGAGAAGGUAGACUUCGGCAGGCUACGCCAGCAGAAGAAGGAGGUCAACCUGGCUAUGCACCGGCAGGAGGUGCCUUUAGUGAACGUCUUCCUGGAAGGCGUGAAGAGCGACCUUGAGGCUCUGGCGAGGACUCCAGCUUCUUCCUUCAUUGACCGGGCCCAAAAGACGAUCCUCACCUCUGCCUAUGUAAGUGUUUAGGCCCUUUUUGAAUGUAUUUGUGUUGGAUUAUUUUUGUGUGGAUUAACUAACAUGGUUUUUGUUUUGCAGGCCUUUGGCGAGAUGUACGUCAGCAUGGCCAAGGCUGACAAGGAGAUCCAGAGGCUGAAGAGGCGGGAUGAGCUAGCCAAGAGAAAAAUGGCGGAGGCGCAGGAGGCCAUCCGAGAGAAGAACGCCUUGCUGGUUCAAAAGGCGGCCCUGGCCAAGGAGGUGGAGGAGCUGAAGAGAUCGAAGGCCGAGGAGGUGGCUGCUGCCCGAGUCGAGGCGAUUGAGUCCUUCCGAUCCUCAGAGGAGCUGAAGAGCUAUAUCAUGGACCGACUGGCUGAUGAGCAGCUUCGCUGGGAAGAUAGGUUGGUUAGGUUCAACCCCUCGGUGGAGAUUAACUUUGACACCAGUGGCGAGCCUCCUGCACAGACCCUUCCUGCUGAUGCUAGCGCCCCGACACCAGAGGCUGAGUUGGCCAGUGAGGAUGCCCCGUCGACCGAGUCUUGAAGGCGUUGCCUUCGUUAUGUGUUAUAGUGAUUAUGUACUUUAGUGAUUGUGUUGGAACACUGUUUAUUUUGUUUAUGUAUGAACACUUAUCCUUGCCUGGAGCAAGGGUGUUUUGAUUUGUGAUAUGAGACUUGUGUGAUAUCAAUUGUGUUAGUAAAGUAAUAGCCAUGUGAAUGCAUGAAAAUGAGCCGGAGUCAGGCGUUUCAUUUAAAUAGGUGCCGAAAGGCAGAAGGUACAAGUGGUCUAGGGUCUAGAUACCUUACUUCUACCUUACAGUAAAUAAUCAAGACCAAAGUGUUGUCCUAGGGUCUAGAUAUGUUUACUUGUAAUAGUACUUGAGGUGGUCAGCAUUCCACGGGUGAGGCAGCGUCUUGCCUGUGGAAUCACGAAGCUGAUAAGUGCCGGGGCGGCAGAUUUUGAUAAUCUCAUAAGGACCUUCCCAUGUAGGGCCGAGGGUACCUUCGUUGGGAUUUUUGGUAGCCAAGGAAACUUUGCGCAUGACCCAGUCCCCCAUUUUGAAAGCACGGGGCUUGACUCGGGAGUCGUAAUAUUUGGCGAUCCGUUGUUUGUACGCGACAUUACGCAUGCUCGAUUGGUCCCGGAGCUCGUCAAUGAAGUCGAGGUUGAGGGCCAACUGCUCGUCAUUGGCCGUGGCAUCGUAAGUGGAGGUUCGGUAUGUGGGCUGGCUAAUCUCUACCGGAGCCACGGCCUCGGUUCCAAAUGAUAGGGAGAACGGCGUUUCACCCGUGGAUGUGCGGAAGGUGGUGCGGUAGGACCAGAGUACUUCUGGGAGUAGUUCUGGCCAGCAGCCCUUGGCUUUGUCAAGUUUUGUUUUGAGGGUCUUCUUGAUAAUUUUGUUCACGGCUUCGACCUGGCCAUUGGACUGAGGAUGGGCUGGGGAGGCGAAACACAGACGAAUCUUGAGGUUGGAACAAAAUUGUUUGAAUUUGGCGUUGUCAAAUUGCCGGCCAUUGUCGGUGACGAUGGAGUUGGGGAUGCCGAAGCGACAUACAAUGUUUUGCCACACAAAGGAUUCGAUGCGAGCUGCAGUGAUGGUGGCCAAGGCCUCGGCCUCAGCCCACUUGGUGAAGUAGUCUACGGCCACAACUGCAUACUUGACUUGGCCCUUGCCCUCUGGCAUAGGUCCAAUGAGAUCCAGUCCCCAUUGGGCAAAUGGCCAAGGGCUGACGAUGGCAGUCAACGGUUCAGCCGGGAGUUGUGGAAUGUUGGCAAAUCGCUGACACUUGUCGCAUUUCUGGGUGAAUUCCUGGGCGUCAGUGUGGAGCGAUGGCCAGAAGUAUCCUUGGCGGAUUGCCUUAUGGGCCAGCGAGCGUGCGCCCGAGUGGUUACCGCAUAUGCCUUCAUGGAUUUCUCAGAGGACAUAGUGACCCUCCUCUAGAGUCAGGCAUCGGAGGUAAGGAAGGCUGAAACCCCGCUUGUAUAAGGAGCCGUUAAUGAUCAGGUAACGGGCAGAGCGAUGGCGAACGCGUCGUGCUUAUGCCAGAUUAGCCGGUAGUGUUUGGUUCUGUAAGAACUGGAGGAUGGGGUCCAUCCACGUAGGGCUGUGAUCAAUAGUGCAGAUGAGUGGGGCUUGUGUGCUGGGCUGGGCCAAAAACUCGAUGUGGAUGUGGCGACCCAUUCCUUGCUCCAAGGAUGAUGCCAACCUGGCUAGUGCAUCGGCAUGGCUAUUCUCGGAGCGCGGCACUUGCUUGAUAGAGUGGGCGUGGAAGGUCGCCAGUAAGUGCCGAGCGUGCUGGAGGUAGGCCGUCAUAGAGGCAUCCUUAGCCGUGAAGUCCUGGUUGACCUGGUGGACCACGAGUUGUGAAUCGCUGAAUAUCUGAAUUUGCCUGGCGUCCAUCUCUUUGGCUAAUCGAAGACCAGCUAAGAGUGCUUCAUAUUCGGCCUCAUUGUUGGAGGCUUGGAAUUUGAAGCGAAGGGCGUACUCGAGGGCAACCUUGUCUGGGGAGAUGAGAACGAGGCCGGCCCCACAGACCUGGGCAUUAGAAGAGCCGUCUACGAAUAAGGUCCACAGAGGCUGGGUUAGGUCGAGAUUGCCUUCGGUGGGGGUUUGGUCCUGGCUGGGCGGGGGAUUGGGUUCGGUUAUGGGCUGGAUAGCUGACGAAGCUUGAGGCUCCGUGAAUUCGGAUAAGAAGUCAGCGACGGCCUGUCCCCUUAGAGCCGGGCGGGGUUUGUAAUGGAUAUCAAACUCGCCAAGUUCAAUGGCCCACUUAACCAGCCUCCCAGAAGUUUCUGGCUUCUGCAACACCUGUCGGAGCGGUUGGUUGGUUAAGACAUGGAUGGUGUGAGCUUGGAAAUAUGGUCGGAGGCGUCUUGCCGAGACGACCAGGGCGAACGCCAAUUUUUCGAUGUCCNNNNNNNNNNNNNNNNNNNNNNNNNNNNNNNNNNNNNNNNNNNNNNNNNNNNNNNNNNNNNNNNNNNNNNNNNNNNNNNNNNNNNNNNNNNNNNNNNNNNGCUAACAGCCGAAGCUGAGAUGGAGAGAUAAAUCACGAGGAUGUCUCCGUGCUCAGGGGUUGACAAUAAAGGGGCCCGGCCCAUAUACUCCUUGAGCUCGCUGAAAGCCGUGUCGCAUUCAGCAGUCCAGGUGAUGUUUCUUUUGGUGCCUUUAAGGGCCUUGAAGAAUGGGGCGCAGCGGUCAGUGGCUUUGGAGAUAAAUCUGGUCAGGGCUGCGACACGCCCUGUAAGGCUUUGGAUAUCUUUGACCGUCUUAGGUACCGUCAUGUCUAAGAUGGCCUGGAUCUUUUCUGGAUUGGCCUCAAUACCCCUCUGGCUGAUCAUGAAGCCCAGGAAUUUGCCGGAAGCCACCCCGAAUGCACAUUUGGUGGGGUUAAGCCUCAUUUUGUACUGCUUCAGGAUGGUGAACAUGGCAGAGAGGUUAGGGAUGUGUUGGUCAGCUGUGCGACUUUUGACUAGCAUGUCAUCGACAUAGACCUCCAUGGUAUUGCCAAUCAGUGGGGCAAAGAGCUGAUUCACCAGACGCUGAUAAGUAGCCCUGGCGUUUUUGAGGCCAAAGGGCAUCACCUUAUAGCAGUAGAGGCCGCGGUCCGUAAUGAAAGAGGUGUGGGCCUGAUCUUCGGGGUGCAUGAAGAUCUGGUUGUAACUUGAAUAAGCAUCCAUGAAGCUAAGGAGGGCGUGGCCGGCUGUGGCGUCGACUAGCUGGUCAAUGCGGGGUAGCGGGAAGCUGUCUUUUGGGCAAGCCCGAUUAAGGUUGGUGUAAUCGACACACAUGCGCCAGCCCUUUCUUGGCUUGCGGACCAUCACGACAUUAGCCAGCCAUGUAGGAUAGUCAACCUCCCUGAUGAAUCCGAUGCUACUCAAUCGAUCCACCUCCGCCCUCGUGGCCUCAUAGCGCUCGGGAUCAUAAGCGCGACGCUUCUGUCGGACUGGUCUGACGGCAGGAUUGACGCUAAGCCUAUGGGAUAUGAUGUCUGGUGAUAUGCCAGACAUGUCAUUGUAGGACCAUGCGAAGACUUCGGAGUUGAGGCGGAGGAAGGCGACCAGGUCAGAGAGAAGCUCUGGCGAGAUGGAGGUGCCGAUCCGGACUUGUCGAUCCGGGAUAUCGUCAUGGAGGGUAACCAGCUCCAGGUCCUCCAUAGGUUCGGCCUGUGGUGCGAUGGACUCCUCCCUUGGGUCUUCAGGUGGUUCUGUGCCAGCUUGAGGAGGGGCGGGAGCCUUGGUUACUACUAGGGCUUCACUCCUAUGUUGGCGAUUGGUGGAUUUGACGGCUGAAGCAUAGCAGCUUCGGGCUCCGAGUUGGUCGCCGCGCACCGUGCUUGGGCCAUUAGGAGUGGGAAACUUCAACAGCAGCAUAUGCGUGGAAAUAAAAGCCCUCAUUUGGGCCAAGGCUGGGCGGCCGAGGAUGACGUUGUAGGCUGUGGGGCAAUCGACGAUAAGGAAGGGGGUAGUGAUCGUCGUCCGCUGGGGUGCGGCCCCAAUUGAGAUAGGGAGAUGAAUGCUGCCGAUGGGCUGGACCACAUCACCCGAGAAGCUCACAAGGGGUGUGAUGCUUCGGUCGAGUAGGUGAGGCGGGACCUGGAGUUCAUUGAAGGCCUCGGCAAACAUCACACUAACCGAGCUGCCAGUGUCCACCAGGAUACGCCCAACGUCGAAGUUAGAAAUGUCAGCCCGGAUAAUGAGUGGAUCGUCAUGGGGGAGGAUAACACCACGCUCCUCCUCCUCGUAGAAGGUAAUGGGGGCCCAGCCAGUCUGUGGGUCUUUGGCAAGCGUCCCUGCUCGGUGCUGAAGACCUGGUGCGCAUAGGUGGAGCGGACAUAAUGUUUGAUGGAGUUGUUGGAGGUGCCAGCCAGGGUAGGACCUCCGCUGAUGGUGGAGAUCAUGUUGAUUUGUCGUUGGUGAGGGUUAGGCGGGGCUGGUAUGUUGCGCACAUAGUUGUCCAGCUUACCCUCCCGGAUGAGCCCUUCAUUUAUGUUGCGCAACGCAACACAAGACUCGGUGUCAUGGCCGCUGAAUUGAUGAAAGCGGCAGAAGACCCCCGUGUUUGGCAUAGGCUUGUGGAUGGUCUCGGGGGGGGUGGGUUUGGGGAUGAUGGGGGCUUCACNNNNNNNNNNNNNNNNNNNNNNNNNNNNNNNNNNNNNNNNNNNNNNNNNNNNNNNNNNNNNNNNNNNNNNNNNNNNNNNNNNNNNNNNNNNNNNNNNNNNCUCGAACCUGGGCCUGGGUGUGAAGGGAAGAGGGGCCCGAUCACCAGGCCUAGGAGGGUUGCCUCCGCUAGAGUGGUGGUGGUUGCCAUGUCUGCCACGUUUGUUAUUACUGAAGGGAUGCUGGUAGCUAUCCUUCCGCUUAUGUUGUUGGUUGUCCUGGGCACUCGGGGCAGGGGUAGAAUGCUGAGGUGGGGCUGGGGCGGGUGCUGAAGCAGGUGGAGGGUCGGCGAAAGUGUUGCGCGCCAGAUUGGCUGGGCCACGCUUGGAAUUGAGGUAUUCAGGCUUAGCAUGGAUCGCCGCCUGCUUCAUCAGCUCUGCAUAUGUGUUCCAACUGUUGCUAUGAACCAGGUAGCGGAAGUUGGACUCGCGAAGGCCGCUCUUAAAAGCGCCGAAGGCAGCGCGAUCGUCAGUGUCUGGGCAGCGGGAGUACUCAUGACUAAACCGAGCUGCAUAUUCCCGAAGGGGUUCGUCCUCAACCUGCCUAAGCAUAUACAAGUCGUCAGCAGAGUAUAGGCGAUCAAUCUGGAUCAUAAAAUGGUCCAGGAACGUCUGCUUGAGACUAUCGAAGGUGGAGCCUGUAGAACCAAUUCAGGGCCGCGCCGCUGAGGGUGGAAGGGAAAAGGAGGCACAUGCCUUCAUCGGUGAGGCCUUUGCACCCAAAGGCAGACUGGAAGGAGUGGAUGUGGGUGAGAGGGUCCUCCGUGCCAGUGUAGAAAGCGAUGCGGAGUGGCUGGAUAUCUUUCUCCUGGUGGUAAUGGAGGAUGCGUUCGGUAAAGGGCCCUGGUCGUGGUUUUGCCCAAAGGGGUUGAUGGCUGCGAUGUUGUUCGCUUUCCAGGCGCCGGACCUUUUCAAAGAGAAGCCUCAUGGCCGGGUCGGCAUGAGGAAGAGUUUCAGGUGCCAAAGGCUUGGGGGCGGGGCAGACAGGGACUGGGGAUUGUUCCCAAUUUUCCAGCGCCUCGGUGUGGUAAUUUGGCCAGGUCUCUGAAUUAUAAAAUUCCCAAGUAUCCGAGUCCUCGACACCUUCCUCGUCGGGUAUGCGGACGGGGGCUGCGAGGGGCCCAGGUGUGUCACCCGUGGGUCUUCGAGGUUGACAGGGAUAGGGAUCGGCCUUGGCUGACGGUCCGAGAGGCGAUCCCUGCAAUCUUGGUAGAUCCUGACUGGUUCAUGGGGCCGGUCCCUCGGUGGGGGAACGCAAAGGGGUCGUGACUGGGUUAUCUCCGGAUGAAGGUGGUCUUUACCCUUGCGGAGCCUAGCUUGGGCCGAGGCACUGUGGCUGGAAUGUACUGGCUGGUUCGGCUGAAUAAGCCCAACGUUCUGGGUGAGGUCUUGCUGGGCAUCCUGGGUGUGAGUCCUUUCCCAAUUCCGCUUUAAAACACGGUAGUCAUGUUCUAGCUCAACAUUCCUGCAAUGAAGGUGCUCGUAUUUUUCCGACAUUUUAGUGACACUGUCGCGGAGGCGCUCCACUUCUGCCUGGAGAGUGGCAUCUUCCGAAGAUUUCCUUCUAGAAGUACCAUCGCGGGGGGUAUGAUGCUGGGUAUCGCGGCUAUCCUCGGUCGGCAUAGCGGAAUAUGGGGUGAAGAAGAGGCGACGGGGCCUGAUGGGUGAAGGAGCCAGCUGGGCUGAUAGAGAAAGAGGGGAUUCAAGUGUCGAAUUUCCACAGACGGCGCCAAACUGUUGAUGCUCAAAAUGGCAUGGCCAAUAGUGAGUCCAACUUAAUGAUUAGGUAUGCGGGGUCUUCAGCAGGGAAGAGAGCUGAGGCCCUUAGUGAAAUAUAGGUUGAUGGGAAACCUGCAGAAGACAAAGUGGGAGAAGCAAUCGUUAAGCUUCGGACACCGGUGUGGUGCCGGCCGAAGGCUCUCCGAUGCCUAAGUCAGUUACAAGUAGUAAUUCUGGCAGAGUAACAGUAAAAGUGGGAGAAUAGUUGUCCUUUUUACCUGGGUACUGUUCCCUAUUUAUAGGGAAGUGAAAGUGGGAACUUUGCACAAAGUUCCAAUGUGGGACUUUGUGCAAGUCGUUGUGGUGGCGACACGUGUCCUGGAGAUUAGGUUUGGCAGCUGGGAGCUUCGGCAGGUGUCUGGCACCUCGGAAAUGUGUCUUCCUUCGGCAGGGGAGAAGGCGUGGCUGUCUUGGUGCUAGUCGCUUUGGUGCUGGGUCUGCUCGGUUCAUUAUGGUGUAAACAGAAAGAACUCAGAGUGUAGCAAAGGUAUUAGUUGGGCAAAGUGGGUGCAUUUGUGUUUUGCAAAGGAUGAAGGUGGAAUAGGGUUUAGAGAUCUGGAGUCUUUCAACAAAGCGCUUGUGGCUAAGCAAUGUUGGAGACUUCUUACCAAUGAACAGACCAUGAUUCAUAAGGUGUUAAAAGCUCAAUAUUUUCUAAAUUGUAAUUUUUUGGCAGCUGGUAAAGGAAGAGCUUCUUCAUAUAUUUGGAGGUCUUUGAUUUGGGUUGUGAGUUGCUCUUGAGUGGGUUAAGGAAGAGGAUUGGAGAUGGACAAGAAACACUAGUCUAUGGUGAUGCUUGGAUUCCUAGACCUAACUUUUUCCGCCCUAUUUCCUUUCAAGUGUUGGAUCAAGAAACUAAAGUAAGUGAUUUUAUUUUUCCCAUUGGGAAUUAGAAUGUUGAUUUACUAAAUUUGUGUUUUCAUGAGGAAGAUGUUGAGUCUAUUACAUCUAUCCCUUUGAGUGUUAAUUAGCACAAAGAUGGAUGGAUUUGGCAUUAUACUACUAAUUGAAUUUAUUAUGUGAAAAGUGGAUAUAGGCUGGAUAUGUCAAAGAAAAAGGAAUGCAGUGGGGCUGUUGGAUCGUCUUCGGAACCAAGAAUACGAAGUGUUUUCUGGAGAAAAGUUUGGUCCAAAGAGGUACCAGAAAAACUCUUAUAUUUUAAUUGGAGAGCUAUUAAAAAUUAUCUUCCUUGUAGAUCUAAUCUGCUGAAAAGGAAAAUAAUUUCUGAUGACUCUUGCCCUAUUUGUAAUGUGAAUUCUGAGAGUGUAAUUCAUGCUUUGUGGAGUUGUCCUAAUGCCCAAAAAGUUUGGAAAAAAGUGAUGUUCAGGGAGGUUUUUACAGGGCUACACUUUUACAACUACGGGGAUUUGUUUGAAAUUGCCACUAUGUAUCUUUCAAAGUAUGAAAUGCUCUUGUUUUUAUAUAUCUGCUGGAAUUUAUGGCAAAACAUAAAUAAAGUUGUUAUUGAAGGUCGUUCUUAUGCACAAAAUGUGAUUUUCAACAGAGCUCAUUACUUGGCUGAUGAAUAUAGAAGUCUUGUGAAAGGGGAACCUAAAUUAAUUGUAGAGAAACAAACCAAAUGGUCUCCUCCUCCGGUUGGUAAAUAUAAACUGAAUGUUGAUUCUGCUUUUAUUCCCAAAACAGGUGUGGGUGGAAUUGGUGCUGUUGUUAGAAAUAGGGGUGUAAGUUGGAUUGGAAAAUCCGAUUCCGGUCCAAAAUUUUCACAAAAAAAUUCGACUCCGAUAAAUCCGAUAUCCGAUAUUUCCGAUAAAUGCCGAAAAUUCCGCAAUUCCAAUACGAAAAUAUUCCUAAGUUCUCCAAACCCAUUCUGAAUCGAUUUUUCCAAUUUUUUCCGGAAAAUUCCGAGUUUCUAAUUUUAAUUGCAUUAUUUUUAGUGUAUAGGUCUUAUAUAUGUUUCAUUUCUCUUAUUUGUUAUCUUUUUGUACCCACCACAUACAAAUAUUCAUAUAUACUAUCAUAGGGGCUCUCUCUCCCAAAAAAAAAUAAACAUAAUAAUUUAUAACUUUAAGAUUAUAUUUGACAAAUGUGCUUGUUUCUUUUUUGUUGGAGUAAAUGUGCUUGUUUGAAUAUAACAAAAAUGCAUAUGUGUGAUUGUUAUAUCCAAACCUACUACAUACGUGGUAAACUAUUCCAUCUAUGUACGUAUUUUAAAAUUUUAAACCAUCUUCAUUCAAACUUUUAAUUAUAAAAUUAUUUUAUACAAAACACCACAUAUAAGAUAAACAUAUUGGAGCUUGACAAUUAUAGUGUUCCAAUUGUCUAGAGCAAGACUAACAUAUUCAAUGCAAGUUUAUCACUCUUUACACACAUAACAUGUAACUAUUUUGAUUAAGAAUGAACAAAUAGUAUAGAUUGAUGUAUAUACAUACAGAGAGCUUUAGGAUUCGAGAAUGCGUUUGAUAGGUUAAUUGGACAACAAUUUUAUAAAACAAAAACAAUGAAAAUGUGAUAGUACAAUUUGAGAAUAAGGGAAAUAGAAAUGCUGCAUCAUGUAUCAAUAUAUAUGAACUACUUUUUUUUCAUCCAAAUUUAUAUUAACUACUUUUUAAAGACAUUUGUGUUCAUGUCUCAUCUAGAAAAAAGGAAUGUAAUUUAAAAAAAAAAAAGAAUAAAAAAUUUAUCCUGUAAAUAAAAUAUAGUUUAAAAAUAUAAUAAUAUUCUAAAUCUUUAAAAAACACCUAAAAUUAUCUUAAACGAAAAACCCAUAGGGUCAGAAACAAAAACAAAAAAAACCCAUCUGGCACAACCCCACCUCUGCCAUUAUCUUUAACUCUCUCUCUCUCUCUCCCAAACGCACCCAUGUGCACCUCCACUCUCUUUUUUCCCCAGUUCUAUUUCUCCCCCUUCGCCUCUUCUUUUUUCUCCAGGAAAGCCUCUUAAUUGGUAUCAAAAUUCUUCACUGUGGAUGGUUAAUUGGGAACAAUUUUUUGUACUAUAAUUUUACAAUUUGGAAGAAAUUGAAACAUCAAUUGAAU